This 1382-nucleotide ribosomal RNA is filed under the name human oral metagenome. RNAcentral describes it as "bacterial LSU rRNA". It matches the Rfam family "Bacterial large subunit ribosomal RNA", at positions 821 to 2209 of the family's 2925-position model. The record is from RNAcentral.
GUGAAAAGCCAAUCGAACCAGGAGAUAGCUCGUUCUCUCCGAAAUGCAUCUAGGUGCAGCCUUGAGUGUUCAAUUAUGGGGGUAGAGCACUGAAUGAUCUAGGGGGCAUAUUGCUUACUGAAAUCAAUCAAACUCCGAAUACCAUAAUUUAUAGCUCAGGAGUGAGACUAUGGGAGUUAACUUCCAUUGUCAAAAGGGAAACAACCCAGACCACCAGCUAAGGUCCCUAAUUAUAACUAAGUGGGAAAGGAGGUGGAGAUUCACAAACAACUAGGAGGUUGGCUUAGAAGCAGCCAUACCUUUAAAGAGUGCGUAAUAGCUCACUAGUCGAGAGUCUCUGCGCCGACAAUGUAACGGGGCUAAGUUAUAAACCGAAGCUGUGGAAUCCGUAAGGAUUGGUAGGAGAGCGUUCUGUAGGCCGUUGAAGAAGAAGGGUAACCAACUUUGGAGGUAUCAGAAGUGAGAAUGCAGGAAUAAGUAGCGAGAAAGGGGGCGAGAAUCCCCCUCGCCGGAAGACCAAGGUUUUCAGGGUAAAGCUUGUCUUCCCUGAGUAAGCCGGGACCUAAGCCCAGGCUAUAAUGCGUAGGCGAAUGGAAAACAGAUUAAUAUUUCUGUGCCAGUCAUUUAUUGUGAUGGAGGGACGCAGAAGGGUAUGUGCGCGGACGAUCGGUUGUGUCCGUAGAAGUAUGUAGGAUGACUUAGUAGGUAAAUCCAUUAAGUUAUAUCUGAGGUAUGAUAUACAGUCGUAAGAUGAAUGCGCAAAUCCCACGCUGCCAAGAAAAGCUUCUAACGUUAAUAUAUGACUGCCCGUACUGUAAACCGACACAGGUGGUCAGGAUGAGAAAUCUAAGGCGGACAGGCUAACUCUCGUUAAGGAACUCUGCAAAAUAACCUCGUAACUUCGGGAGAAGAGGAGCCCUUGGGUGUUAGUAUCCACGCGAUACAAAGCGCUCGAGGGUCGCAGUGAAGAGGCUCAAGCAACUGUUUAACAAAAACACAGGUCUAUGCUAAGCUGGAAGGCGAUGUAUAUGGGCUGACACCUGCCCAGUGCUGGAAGGUUAAGAGGAGGAGUGAGAGCUCCGAAUUGAAGCCCCAGUGAACGGCGGCCGUAACUAUAACGGUCCUAAGGUAGCGAAAUUCCUUGUCGGGUAAGUUCCGACCUGCACGAAUGGUGUAAUGAUUUGAGCGCUGUCUUGACGGGAGGCCUGGUGAAAUUGUAUUACCGGUGAAGAUACCGGUUACCUACAGUAGGACGGAAAGACCCCAUGGAGCUUUACUGUAGCUUGGUAUUGGGUUUUGGCAUUGCAUGUAUAGGAUAGUUGGGAGACUGAGAUGAUAUGGCGCUAGCUGUAUCGGAGUCAUCGGUGGAAUACCAACCAUUC